RNAcentral lists this transfer RNA (76 nucleotides) under Acidobacteriota bacterium. Its description in RNAcentral is "Acidobacteria bacterium (activated sludge metagenome) tRNA-Thr". It matches the Rfam family "tRNA". Rfam says of the family: Transfer RNA (tRNA) molecules are approximately 80 nucleotides in length. Lineage: Bacteria; Pseudomonadati; Acidobacteriota. The record is from RNAcentral.
GCCUCCCUAGCUCAGCUGGUAGAGCAACUGAUUUGUAAUCAGUAGGUCGCCGGUUCGAUUCCGGCGGGGGGCUCCA